UAAUCAUUCAAGCUGCAUCAGACUAAACAU
RNAcentral lists this non-coding RNA (30 nucleotides) under Mus musculus (house mouse). The record is from RNAcentral. Lineage: Eukaryota; Metazoa; Chordata; Mammalia; Rodentia; Muridae.